AUUGAACGCUGGGCGGCAUGCCUUACACAUGCAAGUCGAACGGCAGCACGGGAGCAAUCCUGGUGGCGAGUGGCGAACGGGUGAGUAAUAUAUCGGAACGUGCCCAGUCGUGGGGGACUAACGUAGCGAAAGCUACGCUAAUACCGCAUACGAUCUAUGGAUGAAAGCGGGGGAUCGCAAGACCUCGCGCGAUUGGAGCGGCCGAUAUCAGAUUAGGUAGUUGGUGGGGUAAAAGCCUACCAAGCCUUCGAUCUGUAGCUGGUCUGAGAGGACGACCAGCCACACUGGAACUGAGACACGGUCCAGACUCCUACGGGAGGCAGCAGUGGGGAAUUUUGGACAAUGGGCGCAAGCCUGAUCCAGCAAUGCCGCGUGCAGGAUGAAGGCCUGG
Molecule: ribosomal RNA, 391 nt
Filed under: uncultured bacterium
Lineage: Bacteria
Description: bacterial SSU rRNA
Rfam family: Bacterial small subunit ribosomal RNA
Source: RNAcentral